Molecule: ribosomal RNA, 831 nt
Filed under: Alcaligenes aquatilis
Lineage: Bacteria; Pseudomonadati; Pseudomonadota; Betaproteobacteria; Burkholderiales; Alcaligenaceae
Description: bacterial SSU rRNA
Rfam family: Bacterial small subunit ribosomal RNA
Source: RNAcentral
UGGGGGAACCCUGAUCCAGCCAUCCCGCGUGUAUGAUGAAGGCCUUCGGGUUGUAAAGUACUUUUGGCAGAGAAGAAAAGGUACCUCCUAAUACGAGGUACUGCUGACGGUAUCUGCAGAAUAAGCACCGGCUAACUACGUGCCAGCAGCCGCGGUAAUACGUAGGGUGCAAGCGUUAAUCGGAAUUACUGGGCGUAAAGCGUGUGUAGGCGGUUCGGAAAGAAAGAUGUGAAAUCCCAGGGCUCAACCUUGGAACUGCAUUUUUAACUGCCGAGCUAGAGUAUGUCAGAGGGGGGUAGAAUUCCACGUGUAGCAGUGAAAUGCGUAGAUAUGUGGAGGAAUACCGAUGGCGAAGGCAGCCCCCUGGGAUAAUACUGACGCUCAGACACGAAAGCGUGGGGAGCAAACAGGAUUAAAUACCCUGGUAGUCCACGCCCUAAACGAUGUCAACUAGCUGUUGGGGCCGUUAGGCCUUAGUAGCGCAGCUAACGCGUGAAGUUGACCGCCUGGGGAGUACGGUCGCAAGAUUAAAACUCAAAGGAAUUGACGGGGACCCGCACAAGCGGUGGAUGAUGUGGAUUAAUUCGAUGCAACGCGAAAAACCUUACCUACCCUUGACAUGUCUGGAAAGCCGAAGAGAUUUGGCCGUGCUCGCAAGAGAACCGGAACACAGGUGCUGCAUGACUGUCGUCAGCUCGUGUCGUGAGAUGUUGGGUUAAGUCCCGCAACGAGCGCAACCCUUGUCAUUAGUUGCUACGCAGAGCACUCCUAUGAGACUGCCGUUGACAAACCGGAGGAAGGUGGGGAUGAUCUCAAGUCCUCAUGCCCUUA